UGGAAACCCUCCCUGUGCAUUAUUCACCAACAACUGUGGUGGUGUGGGGGGAAAAUUCUAGAAGGCCUUUCAGACAGUGCAGACAAGUUUGUUAUGCCUGAAAACAUCCCUUGGUGUUAGAGCAGACAGCUGUUGUGUCAGCAGCUGCUCAGUGAUCACCCUUUCAGUAAAACUCUGAGGACUUCCCAGAAGCCUCAGCAGUAACCUCACAUUUCCCCCUCUUGAAGAAAUUGUGGCCAUGACCUGCAGUGUGAUAAAUUUCACCAGGAUCUGCGAGGCUGAGGAGGAUUUAAAUAAACAUGUGCACCAUGGGAAUGUGCGUUUGGCACGCUGCCCGCGAUGUUUUGGUCAGGGCAAAGAGGGUCAGAGCAUUAUUCUCCACACAGAACACAUGGUGUUCUCCAGGAGCACCAGGCAAAAAGGCAGACGAGGACUUCUCAGGGGCCUCUGGGGUAAUCUUUGCUCAAAGCUGCACAACAAAGACCUGCCAGGAAUGAUAUUUCAGUUCUAUAAAAGCCUUAAACGAAGCUACUGCUUUUCUACUUCCCCCAGACACUCCUUUUCACAGGCAGCUGAAAGGUCCUCCACAAGAAAACCCAAAUAUCUGCAGGAGCUCACAAAGAACAAUCUUCCCUGAUGCUUCACCUCGUAUGCAUUUGAAGAACUCAAGAUUUGCUGUGAUGGAACUUCUCGAAGAGAAAUAACAACUGGACUUCUGAGUUGCUUCUUGCUCUGAAGUGGUUCUUGUUCUUUCCUGGAGAUUUACCCAAACCCUUCAGUUGCAGAGGUUAAAAAUAUUAAAUGGAAGUGGAAACCCCUGCCAAUCCCAACAAUUUGGUUCUUAAGGGAAACACUAUUUCCAAUUUGGGUUCAAGCUUUUAUAAGUUCAGUUUGGGCUUUAAGGCAACUCUGAUCACUUUGUAACUGAAUCUUUUACCAAAACUAUUUGGGAUACUCAAGUGCUGACAUUUUUAAAUAGUUUCUCUAUAAUGACCAUCUUGUUUGUCAUUAAUUACCUGAAUUGCUGUUUCUGGCCAUUCACCUUCAAGCCUUUCCAAGCAUUAAACUCCUCCAUCUAUUGAUUAAUGUUAUUAAUUAUCCCAUAACCUUGUAGAUGGGUGUAAUUUCAUCAGAGUAAUGUGAAUCACCAGAGAGAGCUGCAGGGCUGGAUUCCACAUCACCAGAGUGUAAUUACAUCACUUAUUCUCCUUCCUGGUGCGUGGCUUGCUCAAACAGAGGUGCCAAGGCCUGACCUGGCACCCAGGGUCUGGUUUGGGUGGCAGAAUGGUUGGCUGAGUGAAAUUUGCACAGCAAAAUAAAUUUAUCUGAGGCCAGAAAUGGUGAUUGGAA
RNAcentral lists this long non-coding RNA (1350 nucleotides) under Cyanistes caeruleus (blue tit). Its description in RNAcentral is "lncRNA (ENSCCEG00000006207.1)". Lineage: Eukaryota; Metazoa; Chordata; Aves; Passeriformes; Paridae. The record is from RNAcentral.